RNAcentral lists this ribosomal RNA (274 nucleotides) under uncultured bacterium. RNAcentral's name for it is "partial 16S ribosomal RNA". It matches the Rfam family "Bacterial small subunit ribosomal RNA", at positions 523 to 796 of the family's 1533-position model. The record is from RNAcentral.
AUACGGAGGGUGCGAGCGUUAAUCGGAAUUACUGGGCGUAAAGCGUGCGUAGGCGGUUUGUUAAGUCAGAAGUGAAAGCCCUGGGCUCAACCUGGGAACGGCUUUUGAGACUGGCAGACUCGAGUUGAGUAGAGGGGAGUGGAAUUUCCGGUGUAGCGGUGAAAUGCGUAGAGAUCGGAAGGAACACCAGUGGCGAAGGCGACUCCCUGGACUCAAACUGACGCUGAGGUACGAAAGCGUGGGUAGCAAACAGGAUUAGAUACCCGAGUAGUCC